GCGUGCAUAGUAUAGGGGUUAGUAUAGCUGCCUUCCAUUGAGAACAGCAGCUGACGUGAGUUCGAGUCUCGCUGCACGCA
Molecule: non-coding RNA, 80 nt
Organism: Tilletia controversa (dwarf bunt fungus)
Lineage: Eukaryota; Fungi; Basidiomycota; Exobasidiomycetes; Tilletiales; Tilletiaceae
Source: Rfam